RNAcentral lists this ribosomal RNA (274 nucleotides) under uncultured prokaryote. Its description in RNAcentral is "partial 16S ribosomal RNA". It matches the Rfam family "Bacterial small subunit ribosomal RNA", at positions 524 to 796 of the family's 1533-position model. The record is from RNAcentral.
UACGGAGGGGGCGAGCGUUGUCCGAAUUUAUUGGGCGUAAAGCGCGUGUAGGCGGAUUUUUAAGCCUGAGGUGAAAGGUUGGGGCUCAACCCCAUACAGUGCCUUGGGGACUGGGAGUCUGGAGGCAGGCAGAGGAGUGUGGAAUUCCUGGUGUAGCGGUGGAAUGCGUAGAUAUCAGGAAGAACACCCAUGGCGAAGGCAGCACUCUGGGCCUGUACUGACGCUGAGACGCGAAAGCGCGGGGAGCGAACAGGAUUAGAAACCCGAGUAGUCC